RNAcentral lists this ribosomal RNA (454 nucleotides) under uncultured bacterium. RNAcentral describes it as "bacterial SSU rRNA". It matches the Rfam family "Bacterial small subunit ribosomal RNA", at positions 30 to 479 of the family's 1533-position model. The record is from RNAcentral.
AUUGAACGCUGGCGGAAUGCUUUACACAUGCAAGUCGAGCGGCAGCGCGGGGCAACCUGGCGGCGAGCGGCGAACGGGUGAGUAAUACAUCGGAACAUACCCAGUCGUGGGGGAUAACACUUCGAAAGAAGUGCUAAUACCGCAUACGUCCUGAGGGAGAAAGCGGGGGAUCUUCGGACCUCGCGCGAUUGGAGUGGCCGAUGUCAGAUUAGCUAGUUGGUGGGGUAAAGGCCUACCAAGGCGACGAUCUGUAGCUGGUCUGAGAGGACGACCAGCCACACUGGGACUGAGACACGGCCCAGACUCCUACGGGAGGCAGCAGUGGGGAAUUUUGGACAAUGGGGGCAACCCUGAUCCAGCCAUUCCGCGUGAGUGAAGAAGGCCUUCGGGUUGUAAAGCUCUUUCGGCAGGAACGAAACGGCGCGCUCUAACAUAGCGCGUUAAUGACGGUACC